ACAACCAUAUCACCCUGCAGCCCAAGACUGGUUUCCCACUGAAGCUAAGCAGGGCUGAGCCUGGUCUGUACCUGGAUGGGAGACCUCCUGGGAAAACUAGGUUGCUGUUUGAA
Molecule: ribosomal RNA, 113 nt
Filed under: Sinocyclocheilus grahami
Lineage: Eukaryota; Metazoa; Chordata; Actinopteri; Cypriniformes; Cyprinidae
Source: RNAcentral